Molecule: ribosomal RNA, 660 nt
Filed under: Triticum aestivum (bread wheat)
Lineage: Eukaryota; Viridiplantae; Streptophyta; Magnoliopsida; Poales; Poaceae
Description: partial small subunit ribosomal RNA
Source: RNAcentral
AUGAUUGCAAAAUGCCUUAAAUGGACAGGAGAUAUAGUUUGCCCUACAAUCAACAAAAAACUAAACAAAUACAUUGAAUAUUCUGCCCAAUGUGAACUUGUAUGCAAUGGUCAAGAUAUAUUUGAAGUUACACAGAACAAAAAUCACAGGUUUACUGUGGAUUUGAAUAGACUGAAUUGCACAUGUGGGUACUGGCAGCUUGCUGGGUUACCUUGUGUACAUGCCAUUUCAGCAAUCCACACAAAAACAAGUGAUUUGUCUCCUUACAUAGCUAGUUGCUUCUAUGUGGCUGCUUUCAAGAAAACAUAUGCCUACUGCCUGCAACCUGUCGAUGGAAUGGCUAGCUGGCCCAUAUCUCCAAGGCCAAGACCUGUAGCUCCAGGAUAUGUGAAAAUGCCUGGUAGGCCUAAGACUCAGAGGAACAAAGAGAAGGGUGAGAAGAAAGUUUCCAAAACAAAGUUACCAAAGACAGGCACGGUGAUCAGAUGUUCGAAGUGCAAAGGGACGGGGCACAAUAAAACAACUUGUCAUAUAAAAGAAAGCAGCCAACCAGCUCAAACUGUGAGGCUGGUUAGUAAAAAAUCUCUUCACUUUAUAUGUAUGUACUUAUUUUUCUUCAGUUUCUAUCUGUACAUAUUUUUAACUUGUGAUCUCUUCUAA